GAUCCUGGCUCAGGACGAACGCUGGCGGCGUGCCUAACACAUGCAAGUCGAACGGGGAUUACGAGGAGCUUGCUUUUUGUAAUUCUAGUGGCGGACGGGUGAGUAACGCGUGAGCAACCUGCCCUUCAGUGGGGGAUAACACAGGGAAACCUGUGCUAAUACCGCAUAACACAUAUUGAUGGCAUCAUGAAUAUGUCAAAGAUUUAUCGCUGAAGGAUGGGCUCGCGUCCAAUUAGG
This 237-nucleotide ribosomal RNA is filed under the name uncultured bacterium. Its description in RNAcentral is "partial 16S ribosomal RNA". It matches the Rfam family "Bacterial small subunit ribosomal RNA", at positions 15 to 245 of the family's 1533-position model. The record is from RNAcentral.